Molecule: ribosomal RNA, 417 nt
Filed under: Triticum aestivum (bread wheat)
Lineage: Eukaryota; Viridiplantae; Streptophyta; Magnoliopsida; Poales; Poaceae
Description: partial small subunit ribosomal RNA
Source: RNAcentral
AUGUCCAUGGACAUUGUCAUAAUGGUCACCUUAUCGCAGUGUAUUAUUUUUGGAUCUCAUAUUCCUCAAGGCGCUCCAUUCUCUGAUUCGAUGUCUGGCGAUCUGAGAAAUAAGAGGAGGAAUAAUCCAGCAGAAGAAUUUGGUGAAGAAGAACAAGAAAAGAAUACCUUUAUCCUGAUAGGCAUGGAAACACCGGUUCGCAUUGAGUGCAUCAUCGCUAAUCAACUACUAUGUAUGGUCAGCGGACAUGCAUGCUUAUUCCCGAGACUGCAACUGACAUGCUGGAUGGGGAAUAACCAAAUUUGUGGACAAAGACAGAGUUCAUCGCAAGGGGUGGUGUUUAGGAUAUAUACACAAAAGAGGAAACUUUUUUUGUACAGAACCAAAUUAUAUGAUGUAAUAGACCACUAUUUCUAA